GUUUACCGUUGGGGACCGUCGUUGAUCCAAGAACAAAUGGACAUCCUCGCUGAUGAAUCCAACCCCAAAAUCCUUGUUAACACCUUCGAUGCUUUGGAACAAGAAGCAUUAAACGCCAUUGAAAAUUUCAACAUGAUCGGCAUCGGACCUUUAAUCCCAUCUUCUUUCUUGAACUCAAGUGACUCCUUGGAUAAUUCCUUGAGAACCGAUCUUUUUCAACCCGAUUCAAAAGAUUACCUCCAAUGGUUAGACUCCAAACCAAAAUCGGCCGUCGUUUACGUUUCCUUCGGGAGCAUUACGGUGUUAACGAAGCAACAAGUGGAGGAAAUCGCUCGAGCUUUAAUAUCCAGCCGGCGACCUUUUUUAUGGGUGGUGAGGAACCGGAAAGAUGGAGGCGAAGAAGAGAAAGAAGAAGAUAAACUGACUUGCAGGGAAGAAUUGGAACAGUAUGGGAGGGUGGUUCCAUGGUGUUCGCAAGUGGAAGUAUUGUCUCAUCCGUCGUUGGGUUGCUUCGUGACGCAUUGUGGGUGGAACUCGACGUUGGAGAGCAUGGUGGCCGGUGUACCGGUGGUGGCUUUCCCUCAAUGGACGGAUCAAGGGACUAAUGCGAAGCUGAUUGAAGAUGUGUGGGGGAAUGGGGUGAGAGUGAGUGCUAAUGAAGAAGGGAUGGUGGAACGUGAUGAGAUCGUUAGGUGCUUGGAUUUGGUGAUGGGGGAUGAUGAGAAAGGGAUGGAAGUGAAGAAAAACGUAGAGAAAUGGAAAGGGUUAGCCAGGGAAGCCUCCAUGGAAGGCGGCUCCAUGGAUAUGAAGCUUAAAGCUUUUGUGGAUGAUGUUGCUCAAGGUGGUUGUAAGUAAAUUUAUCAUUUUCAAAUAAAUUCACUGUUAUAAUAGCAGCUAUAAAGAUUGUAACUUCUUUAAUUUCUAAGUUUAUUUCUUUUUUUUUUUCCAUAUCUUUUAAAAAAUAUAUGUAAGAUUGAAAGGCCCAAACAAAAACUCCUGUUUUAAGGACCCAAGAAGAGCUGGUCUGUUUAGGCUGUGCUAUUUAUUACUUUUUAGAUGAGUUUUUGCAUGUAAAAGUAUUUUUUUUGAAAAAUAAUAAAGAAUAGACAUCAUUUCAGAAAUAUUUUUAACUUAAAAAAAUACUUUUUGGCAGAUGGAGAAAUUAAAAAUUUUAACUUUUCCGUCUGCCAAAAGUGCUUUUGACUUCUAUUUACAUUUUUAACCUUUUUCUUCUCCCAAAAUUUUUAGUAUUUAUAUUUGGUAUAUAAAUGUUAUCCAUUUUUAAAUCUUUAAUCUAAAUAUAUGUAAUAUUUUAAUUUGUUAGGUUUAUAUUUUCUAUGUUACGUUAAUAUCUAAUAAGAGUUAUAUAUUAAAAUACAUUUUAAAAUAAAAUAAUACAAAUGUGUUAAAAGCAUUAAUUAAAAAUAAAAAAUAAAUUUUAAAAUAAUACAAUUGUGUCAGUAUCUAAUUACAAAUAUUUAAUUAUUAUAUUUAAAUAUAGUUUAUAUAUUCUAAUUAAAUUUAAUAAAUAAUUAAUAUUAAUUACUUAGAAAAAUUUAAAAAUAAUAUUAUAUAUUAAAAUAUUAACAAUAAGUUAUAAUAAAUUAUUUUUAUAAUUUUGCUAAAAUAUCAUAAUAUUAACUAAUUUGAACAUUAUUUAAAUACAUAUUUGUUACUUUAUAAUAUCAUGUCUAAAAUGGACAUUUUAUUUCUCAAAAGCACUUUUUGACAGCAAUAUCAAACACUCAAAUUUUUCGAAAGCAUUUUUUAAAAGUACUUUUCCACAACACUUUUCAAAAAUACUUUUCAAAAGCAAUGAAGAACUGACCCUUAGUCUUUGUGCCCCAUCUAUCCAUCUCAAUCUCAAUCAAUGCUUUCCUUUCUUGCCUCAAGCACUCACUCGUUUCAUGACCUAUCCUAGUCUUCCCUUUCUUAACUUCAUGAUCUCAAAAAAAAAAAAAAACCCCAAAGUUUGAAUUCCGUCUAUGAACUUCCUAAGCAGAAUCAGGAUAUUUGAUUAAACAUGGAUGCUUCCAUUAUCAUAUGGAUUAAGGGUGCCAGUCAGUCUUAUUACGCCCCUAAUCCAACUUUCACCAUUCGAUAUAUGAUUAUAACCUAUACAACAACAGUCAAAUGUGUUGUUGUCGUACCUCUGUCCCUUCAAAAUUAUCUUUACUGUUGCUAUUCAUGUCUUCAUUUGAAUUGAUUUGUUUAUGGUUAUAUAUUGCCGAAUUUGAUUUGUAUAUGGAUAUACAUUGCUGAAUUAAUUUAUAUAUUGUUAUACAUUACCAAAUUUGAUUUGUAUAUAGAUAUACAUUGACAAAUUUGAUUCGUAUAUGGAUAUAUAUCGCCGAAUUGAUUUGAGCUUUGGAUUACUAGUUUUGUGCAUGAAUUGAUUUAAUUACGAAGUCGAAAGCUCCGAAUGAACCUUAGUAAAUGUAUUGGAUAUUGAUGUCAUGAUAUUAGGACUUUCAGGGUGUAAUUUCGCGUAAGACCAUGUCUGGGAUAUUGGCAUCGAAGUAAGAAAACGUGUAAGACCAUGUCUGGGACAGUGGAAUUGAUAUGUGUUAACAUAUAAGACCAUAUCCGAGAUAUUGUAUUGUACGAGUUUUAUAUGAUUUUCGUAUGAUCUUAACUAUUUCGAAUGUGAAUUUGAGUUGAAUGGUUCAGGUAUGUGUGAAGUUAUAUGUUCAUGCAAUAUUAAGGUAAGUUUAGCACUUAAUGUGAUAAUAUGCAAUUAUAUGAGUUAGUUAAAUGUUUAUGUGUUUGAGAUUUAUUUGAAUUCAACCUAGUUGAAUUGAAUUAUAAAUAUCAUUGAGAUGAUUGAGUAAGAGGUUAGUACGAGAUGAUACAGGUACAUACAGAACCUAUUCGAGUAUUUAAUAGAGAAAGAUAAUGAAAUGGUAUUUGAUCAUGUUUUAAGACAUUGAGAAAGGUUUGUUGUAAUUGUAUAUAUGGUGAUGUUAUGUACAAUUAGUUGAAUUGUAUGUAUUUGAUGUAUUGAAUUAUUCAUUUACGAACUUACUAAGCUAUGAAGCUUACUUCGUGUUAUUUUCUUAUGUUUUAUAGAGAAUCAAGGCUAGCUCGGAUCCAAAAGUCGUCGGGAACAUCAUCGCGCUAUCGAACAUCUAAGUUGGUACUUUUGAAUUGUAUAUAUAUGAUAUAUGAGAUGUAUAGGCUAGUGUCAUUUUGGUAUGUUUUGAGUUAUGAUAUUAGCCAUGAGAUUUGGCUUUUAAAGGUUGGUGUGUAUUUGGCCAUAUGAAUUGGUUGUUUAAGUGUUGAGAAAAUGCAUAUUUGAACCUAAGAUGAAUUGAUGGUUAUAGUAAGUUAAAUUGACAUAUUUUUGAGUUAAUUUGGUACUAAAAUUGAAAUGAAAUGAACGAAGUUUAUUAGUUAACUUUUAUAUAGUAUUAUGAAUGUUGUUGAUCAAUUUGAUAAGUAAAUGUUUUAGGCAUGAUUUAAAUAUGUUUAAAUGUGAAAAUGUGUUGGUUUCCAUAUUGAUUGUAAAUUGGUUGCAGUUGAAAUUGCAGGGAAUGUUAGAUAUUUAUAAAGAAGUUAUAUUGAGUUCGCAAAAAGAAAAAUUCUCCGAGUUUCCGAAUUAGUCCCGAAUCAUUCUUAACUCGUAUUAUGGACCUUGAGGGUUUAUCUAAGGGACUUUAAGAUUAUUUUAUAUUAUAUUUGAUAAUUAUUUGUAUAUUAAUUGUAAAUUGUCCGAUAGGUCUAGUAAUGCUCCAUAAUCCUAUUCCGGUGACGAACAUGGGUUAGGGGUGUUAUAAUAAGCAAUUUUUGGUGAAAGUUAUAGUGAAAGUUAUCAUAUUGAUGGUUAGGUGUGAUUGACCAUAGAGUUAUAAUUAUUAUAGUACAAAGAAAAGUUAACUGAGUUGAUUAGGGUGUGAGGUGAAUAAAUUAACUCUUCGAAAUUUUAAUAGCAGGAACGGAAGAAUAUUUAAAAAAAAAUUAAUUUGUUAUUUGAUUUAACAUAUAGAGACUGAUUUAUCUAUUUUUUAGUAUAGCUAGAGGAUAAAAUGCAAUCUGACAUCUAAUACAAUGACCUCAAUAAUACUUUUACCUACAGUUGCUAAAUUUAUAACUAUAAUCGUAAAUUUUCAGUUUUGGUUCUUCUAUUAUGGUUACGUUUAAGAUUUAAUUUUUUAAAGUAAGAUUUAAUCUUUAUAAUUAAAUUUGGCAUAAUUUGAUUGUCUAUUUUUACAAUGAUAUUAGGUAGUCGAAAUAAUUAACAUAUUUUUUAACUAUUCUAAUUAAGUUUUUAAUUUUUUUAAAAAUACUAUUCUAUAAAAAAAUUACUUUUACAUAAUGAAUCAGAAUAAAUGUUAUUAAAAAUAUUCACAUCUACUACAAAAAAUAUUAAGGGUGCUAAUUAUUUGAGUUAACUAAUGAUACGACCUUUUUUUCCCGACAUUAUAAGAUAAUGAUAAAAUUAUAGUUUUUAUAUCUCUAUUAUGCUCACAUUUGAGAUUUAAUAUUUAUAUUUUAAAUUAACAUCGUUUGAUCCUCUACUUUUAUAAUGAUAUUAGUUAUCCUAAAUAAUUAAUAUUUUUAACUAUAUCGAUUAAAAUGAUUACAUGAAUUUCUCUUAAAAACACCUUUCAAUACAAUAUAUAUAUUUCUACAUGAAGUUCGAAUGGGUAUUUUUAAGGAAAAUAUUGAUCUCGACAUUUUGACCACGAUAAUUAAAGGUAUCAACUAUUUCAACUAACUAAUAGUAUUAUGUAGAGGGACCAAAUUAUAUAAAAUUAAAGAAUAGAUAUUAAAUUCUAUAUUUAAACAUAGUAGAGAGACCAUAACCAUAAUUUAAUCUAAAACAAAUUAUCUCUAACAUAAUAUAAAUAUAUUAACUAUAAAAAAUUUAAAUUUUAUUCUACCCCUAAAAAAUUAUUCUGACUUUACCUUACCUGCUACAAUUUUUAGACCUUACAUAAGAUUGUUUUCUUAAAUAGUGCAUAUUAUAAUAUAUAUUUGGUUUUGCAAUUGUUUUUAACUUCGGCUUUUAAUUUGUCACAAAUAAAAUUUUUGACUUUAUUAAUAAUAAUAAUAAUAAUAAUGGAUAAUUUAAAAUAAAAUAUAUUUAUAUUUUAAUUUAUUGUAUUGGAAUUAAUGAGAGAAAAUUUAUGGUCCUUAUAGCGCAAGAAUGUGUGUGACAACGUGUUGAAUGUUUAUCCACACAAAAUCCAAAAGGAUUCAAGGAUCUUCAACUUCGUCAGUGCCUCUCAUCACUUCUAAAAACACUUUGCUUUCCUUUCUUACUUACUCCAAAUCCGACGUUCGUAGAAAAAGACCAAGUUAACUACCUACGUGCCGCCGUCACCAUCAUGUCACAGCCUCAUUUCCUCCUGGUGACCUACCCUGCACAAGGCCACAUAAACCCAACCUUACAAUUUGCCAGGCAUCUUAUACGUAUUGGCGUACGUGUAACUUUCAUCACCUGCAUCUCCGCUCGCCGCCGCAUGACCAAAGUCCCCACUGCUCAAGGCCUAACGUUUUUACCCUUUUCCGAUGGCUACGACGACGGUUUUCAACCCGGCGAUGACGUGGACCAUUACCGAUCUGAAUUUACGCGACGAGGCAAAGAAGCCAUCUCCGAGUUUAUAACAAGCGGUGAAAACGAAGGCAAACCCGUCACUUGCAUUGUCUACACCCUGUUCAUCCAUUGGGCCACGGAGGUGGCGCGUAAACAUCACAUCCCGACAGCUUUACUUUGGAUUCAACCCGCCUCCGUUUUUGACAUCUAUUAUUUUUACUUCAACGGAUACGAAUCCACCAUUAAAGCUCAAGCUGAAGAAACAAACCCCGAGCGUUCAAUCAAAUUACCAGGUCUGCUGCUACUCGCCACCCGCGACCUUCCGUCUUUCUUCACCGCUUCAAACGUUUACCGUUGGGCACUGUCGUUGUUCCAAGAACACAUGGACGUCCUCGCCGAUGAAUCCAACCCUAAAAUCCUUGUUAACACCUUCGAUGCUUUGGAACACGAAGCAUUAAACGCCAUUGAAAAUUUCAACAUGGUCGGCAUCGGACCUUUAAUCCCAUCUUCUUUCUUGAACUCAAGUGACUCCUUGGAUAAUUCCUUGAGAACCGAUCUUUUUCAACCCGAUUCAAAAGAUUACCUCCAAUGGUUAGACUCCAAACCAAAAUCGGCCGUCGUUUACGUUUCCUUCGGGAGCAUUACGGUGUUAACGAAGCAACAAGUGGAGGAAAUCGCUCGAGCUUUAAUAUCCAGCCGGCGACCUUUUUUAUGGGUGGUGAGGAACCGGAAAGAUGGAGGCGAAGAAGAGAAAGAAGAAGAUAAACUGACUUGCAGGGAAGAAUUGGAACAGUUUGGGAGGGUGGUUCCAUGGUGUUCGCAAGUGGAAGUAUUGUCUCAUCCGUCGUUGGGUUGCUUCGUGACGCAUUGUGGGUGGAACUCGACGUUGGAGAGCAUGGUGGCCGGUGUACCAGUGGUGGCUUUCCCUCAAUGGUCGGAUCAAGGGACUACUGCGAAGCUGAUUGAAGAUGUGUGGGGGAAUGGGGUGAGAGUGAGUGCUAAUGAAGAAGGGAUGGUGGAACGUGAUGAGAUCGUUAGGUGCUUGGAUUUGGUGAUGGGGGAUGAUGAGAAAGGGAUGGAAGUGAAGAAAAAUGUAGAGAAAUGGAAAGGGUUAGCCAGGGAAGCCUCCAUGGAAGGCGGCUCCAUGGAUAUGAACCUUAAAGCUUUUGUGGAUGAUGUUGCUCAAGGUGGUUGCAAGUAAAUUUAUCAUUUUCAAAUCAAUUCACUGUUAUAAUAGCAGCUAUAAAUAUUGUAACUUCUUUAAUUUCUAAGUUUAUUUCUUUUUCUUUUCCAUCAUCUUUUGUAAAAAAAAAAAUGUAAGAUUGAAAAGCCGAAACAAAAACUCCUCUUUUAAGGACCCAAGAGGAGCUGGUCUGUGUAGUCUUUGAGCCCCACCUGUCAAUCUCAAUCUCAAUCAAUGCUUUCCUUUCUUGCCUCAAGCACUCACUCGUUUCAUGUCCCAUCCUCGUUUUCCCUUCAUUAAUAUCACUCCACCUUCUAACUUAAUAAUUGAUACAUGAUCUCAAAAAAAAAAGAAAAAAAAAAAACCCAAAGUUUGAAUUCGGUCUAUGAGCUUCCUAAACAAAAUCAGGAUAUGUGAUUAAGCAUGGAUGCUUCCAUUAUCAUAUGGAUUAAGGGUGCCAGUCGGGCUUAUUACGCCCCUCAUCCAACUUUCACCAUUCGAUAUAUGAUUAUAACCUAACCAACAACAGUCAAAUGUGUUGUUGUCGUACCUCUAUCCCUUCAAAAAUCUCUUUACUGUUGCUACCCAUGUCUUCUUUGAUAUAUAUGCAUAUUUUUAACCUUACUGAGCUGUGGACUUCAUUUGACGUGUAACCAAGUUUUUGCUUUCUUUUCUUUCUUCUUCUUAUGUUUCCUGAAUUUAUAAAUUUUUUUCCAUUGGCUUCUAUUUAUGUUUUUUCAAAGAUUAAUAAUUGAAUUUAAUUAAAAAUAAUUAAAUUGGUAAAAUAUAUAAAUGUUGAGGACAAAAUUCAGUAUUAUCCCUUUUAAUACCUUUCAUCGUACUAGAUCAGGUAUUAUCGUACCAUGAAACUUGAAUAAGGGUGGGUUUGGAUGGGCGAUUGGGUGCGGUGCGGUGCGUUUAGCCUACUUUUUGUCUCACACUACAGUAUUGCUACAGUGGUAAACGCACCGCCCAUCCAAACUCACCCUAAGCCACCACACAAGUUUAUGCGCAUGUGGUUUUUUCUGGUUUAAUUCUGCUUCUAGUCCUUAUACUUUUUGAAAGUGAUGGAUUUAGUCCCAAUACUUCAAUUUGAUCACUUUUAGUCCUGAACUUUUCAAAAUGUUCAAUUUUAGUCCCUAUAUUUUUAGUCUUUUGAAAUUUUUGUCCUAAACCAAAUAAUAGUAGUUAAAUUUGUUUGUUUAAAUUCAAUUACUAGCAUGUAAUUGUAGAUUUAAUAUAUAUUAUCCAUUUUCUUUGCAAAGUCUGUGAAAAACAAAAAGGAUUGUUGAGAACAAUCCAAACACUAUCAAACACAGUUUAAAAAAAAAUAAAACAGAACAGCCUAACAAAUACUACUAAGCAGACAAAAACACUUUAACAACAGAUUUCCCCGUUGUAUUCUGCUGCAGAAAAUAGCAGACCAUCCCAGCAUCAUCCAUUCUGCUUCAGCAGCAAAUCACCAAGCAGCUUUAAAGAAGUUUUUCCUUGACAUGCCUGCCUUUGCUAAAGUUUCCGCCAUUCCACUCUUUUUUUGAUUAGUGAUUGCAAACUGGAUUUCGGCAAUAUGUCUACAUUCAUCUUCAAUUUCCGCAAACAACUUCCUUAGCGACCAUUGACGAAGAUUCCUAUAUUUCAACUAAUUCAAUACCGUAUUCAAAUCAAGCUCUAUAAUCAAAGGAAGUUGCACCUUAUGAAACAAAUUUGAAAACAUCUCUAUUGCUACUUUUAUAGCCAUCAGUACUACCAUUUCCAAACCCUCCACUGCACAGUUACCUGAAAAAGAGCUGAAACAACCCCUUUCUCGUCCCGCAACACCCCUCCGCAGCCCGCUCUUUCAUCCAAAGAAACCCCAGCCACAUUAAAUUUCAUCCAACCGCAAGGAGGUGGUUCCCUAUCCAUAACCCGCACAUUCCCCACCCUUUUUAACCGGACUGCUCUUCCUUGGCCACCCCCACCAAUCACUCUCUGUGAAAAUACAUUCCUCAUAGACCACUCUUGCCCAUACAAACGAUCUCAAUUUUGUUUGGUAAAUUAACAAGUCAAGUGUUGUAGCCUUACCUUCAAACACUUUCUCAUUACGAGAAAUCCAUCCUGACCAACAUGCUGCUGAUACUGCCAGUAACCAUAGACUUUUUUGAAUGCCAGACAAAGACACUCUCCAGCACAAGGAAAAGAAUUCCUCAAAGUUUGCUACGACGUCCUUCCAUCUCAACCCCCACCAGCAAAAUAUACACGACCAGAAUCUUUUCACAAAGGAGCAUUCAAAAAAAAGUGAUUGGUAGAUUCCGCCACUCUCUCGCACCAUGGACACCCACUAUCCGAAGAGUCGAUAAUAAUUCCUCUACUAAUAAAAAAUUCUUUCGUUGGAACACGAUUAAUCGCCAUCAUCUAUAAGAAGCUACGCUUUCUUGGUGGGACUUUCAAUUUCCAGAUUCUAUCAAACUGAAAUUCUACCGUUCCCAUCCCAUCACACAUUCACGACAUUAGUUGCACGCCCAGCUACAAACGAACCUGGCUCGGAUAGCAAAAAUGUAGGGAAAAAAUAGUCACAGAAGACUAUAGUCAAACAACGUGUAUGCAAGGAAAAUACUAAACUAGAAAAUUUAAAAAGAAAGAAAAGCUGAACUCAAAAUGACUGAAGUUGCUGUAUUAUUCACACACAAAAUGAAAUAAACGUAGGCCUAUAAAUAGCCUUUACACCAUAACAAACUAACGUAAAAAUGUGCAACACUAUUGCACGAUCAUAACAAAAAAUAGAGAAAUAAGGAAAAUAACAAACUAAGCAUAGCACAGCAAAUCUAAAUUUAGAAAAACUGACUUUGAAUCAUUCUCCAACAUCGAAAAUGGUGGAGGGUUGAAUCCAGAGUAAAGUUGACGGGAUGUGAUGUUUACGCGCCACCUCCGUAGCCCAAUGAAGGAGCAAAUAGUAGACAAUGCAAGUGAUGGGUUUACCUUCGUUUUCACUACUUGUUAUAAACUCAGAGAUGGCAUCUCUGCCUCGUCUCUUGAAUUCAGACAUGUAAUUGUCUGUGUCAUUGCCGGGUUUAAUUUCGUCGUCAUAGCUAUCCGAAAAAGGUAAAAACGAUAGGCCUUCAGCAGUGGGGGACUUUGGUCAUGCGACUGCUGGCGGAGAUGCUGGUGAUGAAAGUUACACGUACGUCGAUAGGUACAAGAUGCUUGGCGAAUUGUAAGGUCGGGUUUAUGUGGCCUUGUGCAGGAUAGGUCACUACGAUGAAAUGAGGCUGUGGCAUGAUGGUGACGGCGGCGCGUGUUGGCGCGUAAUUCGUGAAGGAAAUUAAUGGGUUUUUAUAGUGAAGAGAGGCAUUGAUAGAAGGUGACGUUUGAGCUGACGAAUUUCAAAGAUUCCUAAACCUUGUUGGACUUAUCUAGUGUUUUUUCAAUGCUUAGGUUGCAGCUUGAUGCAUGAUGCUGUUAGAGACAGUUUCAUACUACACGACUCUUGGGGGUUUGAAUUUAAUUCACGAAUUAUAAUUUAGGUUAAACUAAACCCCAACACUAAACUAGUCAGUUUAUAUUUGGUUAAACUACCUACCAAGUUAUCCAUCUAUGCCUAAACUUUCAAAAUGGUCAUUCAACUAAUUGGGUUUCAGUUUUUUAUCCAUUUCCCUUAAGCAUAGAUAAAUGCCUUACCUUUGCAUACUUGGUAGGGUUAAUUUUUAAAAAUUAUGACUAAAUUGAUACAAUAUGUAAAAUUUGAGGAAAAAAAUUGUUAUUAUCCUAAUAUUUAAACAGUCACUUCAACUUUCUAUCAAACACUUAAUGGAAAUGGACCAAAAAAAUAAAUCAGAAUAGUUAGGUGACCAUUUUGAAAGUUUUAAAAGUUGAGUGAUAAAAAAAAAAAACUUAAACAUGUUUAAUAGUAUUAAUGUGUCGAACAAUUAAAGUAUCCACUUGUCAUUGUUUUCUUGAAUAUUGUGUAUAUCAUAUAUAAUAAAGGAUUGUAUAACGCUAGCUGUCAUUUUACAUCAUACCUUUUCUUCUCCAAUAAGAGAAUGAUAAAUUAAAUUUUUUCUCUUAAAAAAAUUCAAAUUCAAAUAAAAAUGUAAUAUAAAAUCAUAAUUUCAUAUAAUCACAGUUUCAUACAAUAUUUUCUCUUAGAAUAUAUAUUUAUAAUGUAUAUAUAUAUUCCAUUUUUCAAUUGUUUCUAACUUUGUUCUUUUAGUUUGUCACAGACAAAAAUUUUGACUUCGAUAUUAUUAAUAAAAAAUUAUUAUUGUCCUUGUAGCGGAAGAAUGUGUGUGACAACGUGAUAAGUAUUUUUCCAAACAAAAUCCAAAAGGAUUUAGGGAUCUUCAAAUUCGUCAGCCCAAACGUCACCUUUUUUCAGUGCCUCUCAUCACUUAUAAAAACACUUUGAUUUCCUUUCUUAGUUACUCCAAAUCCGACGUUCGUAAAAAAAGACCAGGUGAACUACCUACGUGCCGCCGUCACCACCAUGUCACAGCCUCAUUUCCUCCUAGUGACCUUCCCUGCACAAGGCCACAUAAACCCAACCUUACAAUUUGCCAAGCAUCUUAUACGUAUUGGCGUACGUGUAACUUUCAUCACCUGCAUCUCCGCUCACCGCCGCAUGACCAAAGUCCCCACUGCUCAAGGCCUAACGUUUUUACCGUUUUCCGAUGGCUACGACGACGGUUUUCAACCCGGUGAUGACAUAGAACAUUACCUAUCUGAAUUGAGGCGACGAGGCAAAGAAGCCAUCUCCGAGUUCAUAACAAGCAGUGAAAACGAAGGCAAACCCGUCACUUGCAUUGUCUACACCCUGUUCAUCCAUUGGGCCUCGGAGGUGGCGCGUAAACAUCACAUCCCGACAGCUUUACUUUGGAUUCAACCCGCCACCGUUUUCGACAUCUAUUAUUUUUACUUCAACGGAUACGAAUCCACCAUUAAAGCUCCAGUUGAUGAAACAAACCCAAAGCGUUCAAUAAAAUUACCAGGUCUGCCGCUACUCGCCACCCGCGACCUUCCGUCGUUCGUCACCGCUUCAAACGUUUACCGUUGGGCACUGUCGUUGUUCAAAGAACAAAUGGAUGUCCUCGCUGAUGAAUCCCACCCCAAAAUCCUUGUUAACACAUUCGAUGCUUUGGAACACGAAGCAUUAAACGCCAUUGAAAAUUUCAACAUGGUAGGCAUCGGACCUUUAAUCCCAUCUUCUUUCUUGAACUCAAAUGACUCCUUGGAUAAUUCCUUGAGAACCGAUCUUUUUCAAUCCGAUUCAAAAGAUUACAUCCAAUGGUUAGACUCCAAACCAAAAUCGGCCGUCGUUUACGUUUCCUUCGGGAGCUAUGCUGUGUUAACGAAGCGACAAGUGGAGGAAAUCGCUCGAGCUUUAAUAUCCAGCCGGCGACCCUUUUUAUGGGUGGUGAGGAACCGGACAAAUGGAGGCGAAGAAGAGAAAGAAGAAGAUAAACUGACUUGCAGGGAAGAAUUGGAACAGUUUGGGAUGGUGGUUCCAUGGUGUUCGCAAGUGGAAGUAUUGUUUCAUCCAUCGUUGGGUUGCUUCGUGACGCAUUGUGGGUGGAA
RNAcentral lists this long non-coding RNA (12269 nucleotides) under Gossypium raimondii (Peruvian cotton). RNAcentral describes it as "long non-coding RNA (GRAI_LNC003382)". Lineage: Eukaryota; Viridiplantae; Streptophyta; Magnoliopsida; Malvales; Malvaceae. The record is from RNAcentral.